GGCACUGUCAGCAUCACCCUGUGAAUUUGCAUCACCAAAAUACCAUGAUCAGCAUGUAAGUUUGGCGUAAAACAAGAAGCAAGGUUAAAAAAUAGAUAUAGAAUAAUGAAUUACUUGGACUAGGAGUAUUGCACAAUAUUUGAAAGUGUAAUAAAUAAAAGCAACAAUAACCAGUAAGUCUUAAACCAAAAGCUAGAUCAGUGCCAACCAUUGUAAAAUCAUGCCUAACGAUCCAGAUCAUUUAUCAAGCUUAAGUACAAUUAAGCAUUUCAUAACCAUGAGAAAAAUAUGAUACAAAUAAACAGUUCACUACUCUCUGCAAGUGCAUUUCAAAGUCUGCAUACCAUGCAUAAAAAUACGAUAACUCGAGCACCAUACCUUGCACAACUAUUUCUUUACCUUCUAAACCUACUUUACUUUUUAAAUUGCUUAAGGGACAUGGUUCAACUCACAUAACCUUUUACUUCCUUUUAUUUAAAAAAUAACUAAAUUUUGGUUAGUAUUCUACAAAAAAUAUGGACAAAAUUUAUUUAAUAACAAAAAAUAACUAUAUUAUUAAUUUUAUAAUAAAUAUAAUUAAUUAUAUGAUAAAA
Molecule: unclassified non-coding RNA, 593 nt
Filed under: Hevea brasiliensis (rubber tree)
Lineage: Eukaryota; Viridiplantae; Streptophyta; Magnoliopsida; Malpighiales; Euphorbiaceae
Source: RNAcentral